This is a long non-coding RNA of Homo sapiens (human), 1893 nucleotides long. Ensembl annotates it as long intergenic non-protein coding RNA 2092. NCBI's taxonomy places the organism in Eukaryota, Metazoa, Chordata, Mammalia, Primates, Hominidae. The record is from Ensembl.
GGGUGGGAAUGGAGUGGGGAGAUCUGACUCUGCAGCCAUCCCUCACCACUCCUGCUUGGACAUCGCCAGGCUCAGCUAGAGAAGGCAGAAAAAGUUCCUCCAACUCCUUCCCCAGGCACCUAUGCAGGCUCCACACUCCUGCCUGAACAGCUAUGAUUUUAAAAGCCAUCGAGUCAUGAAGAGAAGUGUGCCAGUGUGUGCUGGACUCAGUUUCCCCUGUGCACCAUUUUCCCCAGUCAGCCCUGCACCUUCCAAGAACUAUGACCCGAAGGCACACCCUAGUCAGCUCAGGCCCCACAUUCCUGCAAAAAUAAGGCUCCAGGGCUCCCUCAUCGCAGCAUGGGUUCUGCAGGAAGCCCCAGUGCCAAGUGGCUUUCAAAACUAGCCUCAGCUAGCAACGUGGCGGCUAUUUCAGCGACCGACAAAAGCAGCUCCCCCAGCCUCCCUUGGUGUUUGUGGUCCCUUUUGUUCCAGCCAGGCACCAUGAGGAAAAUGCAGCAACCGUUUGGAAACAAAGGCUCGGGCAGGCUCUCUCCAGUCUGAAAAGCCCACUUUCACUUGAGUUUCAGGUAAUUUGCUGUGCAGCCUGAAUUCGUUAGACAAAUUAGGCUCACUUGGACUUCAGGUGGCUCAAUUACCUGGGUGAUUUGCAUGUUUAUGAGUGAAGGGGACUGCACAGUAGCAGAAAGCAAAUUUGAAAUCCUGACUUUGGGGGCCCUGGAGCCCCUUUGCUGCACCUUUACUUUCCCUACCAGAAAGGAGGAAGGACAGAGUAGCUCCCCAGCAAGCAGAUCAGCGGAUGUCACAUAACCACAGGGCAGUCAUCAGGGAGCACGACCCCUCCCCAGGGCCACGCAGGCCUUAGUUUCUCCUUCUGGAUCUGCCAGCAAAACAAAGGUUACUGAGAGGUUAAGAAUUGCCAAAAAAGACCUGUGCCUUCCCUCUGAUAUUCCCUGGGUUUAGUUCUUCUCUCCUCCUUCUGCCAAGAGACCACUGAGAAGUGCCUCCGAAGAGCUAAGGGCUGCCCCAGGUGGUUAUGUGGGAGGUGAGUCAAGGCUUGAGGAUCUGGAGACUAAGCAACUCUCAAGAGAAAGUUCUGCUGGGACCCCUCCCUUGGUCUUCCCUUUCUGCCCCCUCUGAUGCCCCCUUCAUCCAUCCCUGCCUGCCUUCUGGUCUGUCCCUGCAGCGUGAGUGCCAGACAGAGGCCUGUUCUGAUGUCCUGACAUGCUACAAUUAUGCAGAUUUACACAGCAAGCAUAAGACCUUCUCCGCAUGUAUGGCUUCCCCAUUCCCAAGCAGACCAUGAACUUCCUAAGGAAAGUGACCGAAUUCCGCACUUCUCAACCCUCGCGGAGGGGCAGGGAGAUGGAUGAAGAAAUAAAGAGAGGGUGAAAUCAUUCUGGGAAGUUUCCUUGAAAGGGGUGAGUCAUAAAGAGGGGGUUGGGUGCAGGUGAGGAGGAGGAAGAUUACAGACUGCAGGGAUGAGCAAAUACCAUUUCCCAGGAUUUCCUGAAGUUUUUCUCCCCUCCCAAAGCCCAAAUCUGCCUCUUUCUGGGGCCCAGCGAGGACCCUGGAAGACAGAGAUCCUAGAAAAAGCAGAGGGAAAAGAAGAGGAAGAGAACAUGGAGAAACCGCCAGGGAACAGAACUCUUGGUCCAGGAGGCGCAAACCACAAGUGCAAUUAGUCAAAAAAAAACCCUGAAAUUAAAAAAUGAUUCCAAGCUGAGGAGGGGAGUACAUAAGUUACUGCAGCCCCAAGACAUUUAUGAAUAAUACAAAUGCUGUGAGGUGCUGAGCCUGAGCACAGUUAAUUAAUAUGUACAGGAGCAGAGAUGCACUUGAAAAACAAUAGUGCUGUUUCCCCCUCGCCAGAAGUAAAAAUAUUUCCAGAAA